GACGAACGCUGGCGGCGUGCUUAACACAUGCAAGUCGAGCGGUAAGGCCCUUUCGGGGGUACACGAGCGGCGAACGGGUGAGUAACACGUGGGUGACCUGCCCUUAGCUCUGGGAUAAGCCUGGGAAACUGGGUCUAAUACCGGAUAUGACUCCAUGACGCAUGUUGUGGGGUGGAAAGCCUUGUGCGGCUAGGGAUGGGCCCGCGGCCUAUCAGCUUGUUGGUGGGGUGAUGGCCUACCAAGGCGACGACGGGUAGCCGGCCUGAGAGGGCGACCGGCCACACUGGGACUGAGACACGGCCCAGACUCCUACGGGAGGCAGCAGUGGGGAAUCUUGCGCAAUGGGCGAAAGCCUGACGCAGCGACGCCGCUUGGGGAUGACGGCCU
This 387-nucleotide ribosomal RNA is filed under the name uncultured bacterium. RNAcentral's name for it is "bacterial SSU rRNA". It matches the Rfam family "Bacterial small subunit ribosomal RNA", at positions 28 to 417 of the family's 1533-position model. The record is from RNAcentral.